Long non-coding RNA from Stomoxys calcitrans (stable fly), 666 nucleotides. RefSeq lists it as uncharacterized. The transcript has 3 exons. The record is from RefSeq and is a predicted model, not a curated record. Lineage: Eukaryota; Metazoa; Arthropoda; Insecta; Diptera; Muscidae.
UGGGCGUUAAGAACAAUUGGGAAGCUGCGGGAACUAUCUUCACCUCCUUGAGGGUCAAAUAAUUAGAUUCGUAUUCCCUUAAAUAAACUUAGAUUUCGCGGAAUGCUGGCGACAUUUGUGAGGUACUAUGCCAUGCCAUGCCAGGGGCAAAAUUCUGCAAAAUGUUAUGAUGUUCUCGCCCUCUGCGCUACUUCGGUGGUGCUAUUCCAUUCCCUUAAUAGAAUGUUCAUGGGAAAAAUUUGGUAUUUGACUGAAUUGAUCUUUACAUUCACAUAAGUUUUCUUUGGUCUGUGUCAAUUUUAUUAGCUUAAUAAUAUCAAAAUUGUCAUUAAGCGUAUGUUUAGAAAUAAUAAGAUUAGGGUUUUGGGUCAAUUUGUGAUCCAUUUCUGAUGAACUUAGCCAUCGCUUCUCAAUGAUCCAGCACAGACCGAUGAUCCGUUAUGAGCACUUAUCAGAACUUUUCCAUUUGGGAUGAGGCAUCUAAUGUCUUAAUACAUAAAGACUCCUUUCGUAUGUCAGCAGGGUGCCAGUUCUUCUGUCCUUCCAAACUGUUUUUCAGUUCUCGCGGAACAGAGGAAUGCUCAAAGUUCGAAAUGCCUCCCCAGUCUCGGAUAAAUGUUAAUUACAUUGCAUUAGAAGUAAAAUUGAAGGGGAAAUGAAUUAUAG